Molecule: non-coding RNA, 180 nt
Filed under: bovine gut metagenome
Source: RNAcentral
GGUUUCGGUUCCCCCGCGAGGGGGCCAAGAGGGAAUCAGGUGAGAAUCCUGAACAGUCCCGCUGCUGUGAGUUCCAGUUAGUUAGCACAGCUUUCAAGACAAGUCACUGUGGCGCCAGCAGGUGCUGCGGGAAGGCGAAAAAGCUGUUGCGGAACGAGUCAGAAGACCUGCCGCGACCAU